GCCUUGGCACCACUCGGCUUGUUCGCCCUUCGUUGUUUUUCCACCUUCUUUCUUCAGACAGUGGAAGAAGAACAGUGAGUACGAAGAUGGGGAAUGAAUGAAUAUGACGGGUGCCAGUAUUUAUCAAGAUUUUAUGGCGGCUGCCAUGAGUGAGUUGUUACUAAGGUGGCGUCACACGGCCCAGACGCUAAAGACCCCGAUGAGGAAAGAGGCAGUUGGUUGUCCUCUCUGCCAAAAUCGCUAUUGACGCCGACGACGCUAUCUGGGUAACGCCCAAAGGCACUUUCCCUUUACGUCCCGCGAUAAAUACAGACCACCUCCAGCAGGCAGCAGCCACCUGGUGAGGCAAGUGAGUGAGAGGUCCUUGGCUGCGGGUAUUCUUAGCUGACACUUGAGGGACCGAAUGACACUUUUUCGAGCAGUGACACUCAAAGAAUAGUGAGUGACACUUGAGGGUUGAGUGCGAGGCUUCCCUGGUGAGGGCUGGAGAGGAGGCGAGGAGGGUUGCUCACUGGAAACCCUAAGCUCCCCUUGUGUGUCUGUGG
Macrobrachium nipponense is the source of this 545-nucleotide long non-coding RNA. RefSeq lists it as uncharacterized. NCBI's taxonomy places the organism in Eukaryota, Metazoa, Arthropoda, Malacostraca, Decapoda, Palaemonidae. The transcript is spliced from 3 exons. The record is from RefSeq and is a predicted model, not a curated record.